GACGAACGCUGGCGGCGUGCUUAACACAUGCAAGUCGAACGGAAAGGCCCUGCUUGCAGGGUACUCGAGUGGCGAACGGGUGAGUAACACGUGGGUGAUCUGCCCUGCACUUCGGGAUAAGCCUGGGAAACUGGGUCUAAUACCGGAUAGGAGCCAUUUUUAGUGUGAUGGUUGGAAAGUUUUUUCGGUGUAGGAUGAGCUCGCGGCCUAUCAGCUUGUUGGUGGGGUAAUGGCCUACCAAGGCGGCGACGGGUAGCCGGCCUGAGAGGGUGGACGGCCAAAUUGGGACUGAGAUACGGCCCAGACUCCUACGGGAGGCAGCAGUGGGGAAUAUUGCACAAUGGGCGCAAGCCGGAUGCAGCGACGCCGCGUGGGGGAUGACGGCCUUCGGGUUGGAAACUCCUUUCGCUAGGGACGAAGCUUUUUGUGACGGUACCUAGAUAAGAAGCACCGGCUAACUACGUG
RNAcentral lists this ribosomal RNA (465 nucleotides) under uncultured bacterium. RNAcentral's name for it is "partial 16S ribosomal RNA". It matches the Rfam family "Bacterial small subunit ribosomal RNA", at positions 28 to 507 of the family's 1533-position model. The record is from RNAcentral.